RNAcentral lists this ribosomal RNA (254 nucleotides) under uncultured bacterium. RNAcentral describes it as "partial 16S ribosomal RNA". It matches the Rfam family "Bacterial small subunit ribosomal RNA", at positions 524 to 776 of the family's 1533-position model. The record is from RNAcentral.
UACAGAGGUCUCAAGCGUUGUUCGGAUUCAUUGGGCGUAAAGGGUGCGUAGGUGGCGCUGUAAGUCGGGUGUGAAAUUUCGGAGCUUAACUCCGAAACUGCAUUCGAUACUGCGGUGCUUGAGGACUGGAGAGGAGACUGGAAUUCAUGGUGUAGCAGUGAAAUGCGUAGAGAUCAUGAGGAAGACCAGUGGCGAAGGCGGGUCUCUGGGCCGAUACUGACGCUGAGGAGCGAAAGCGUGGGGGAGCGAACAGG